UCAGCUAUGCUGGGACUGAGGCUCCUUCCUUCUCAAUAUCUGAAAUUCUGAAGGCAAUACUCUUGUCCUAAAGGAAAUGUGUAAUGUGAAGUUAACCUCAAUGUGAUGUGCCAAGGGCAUGUGAAAUCACAAGGAGAAAGUGCAGUAUUUACUGAGUGAGCAGCUAUUCCAGUCAAUGCCAUUCACAGCAUCCAAAGACAACAGAGUUGCUGGAUCACUGCCAGGCCCCAGGCAUUGAAGCCUUGCUUGCUGCAAUUCUCUUUGGCUAAGUUAGGCACAUACUAAAAUGGAUACAAGGAUCCCAUAGCAAUUGCCUUGUAAGACACUUAAAGGCAACUGAUCACAAGGUGGACAAGGGAAAGCUUUCAAGAACCCUGAAAUUGAAUUUGGAGUCACUAAUACAGCUAGGGAAUGAUAGCGUGGAAUGUCUCAAGGUCGCUUGCAACAGAGAAAGGGGGCCUUAUUUCAAAGAAAUUGCCCUGUCUGCCAGGAUAAAAAUGAGACACACACAGCAAAGAGAAAAGAGCAGCUGCUACAGAGCAUUACCAAGGGAGAGACUGCAAAACAAAUCAUCAGUGGGAAGGAGAAUGAGGAACACCACGAAUUUCUUCCAUCACUGGACAAGAAGCGCUCUCUCCUCUAAUUCAUAGGAUAAAAAGAAAGCUGGCUCCAAAUGGCCAUUUAAGCCCAGUAGGGCCCUUUGCAAGAAUGCGAAAGAGAGAAGAUAACAUGAUUUUCUCCACUGUGUCAAGAUGCAAUGGCUACAUAUACCUCCUGCAGCUGAAUUAUAAAGGCUGGAGCGUGCUUGCGACCAUUUGGACCACAUGGUUCCCGCUGUCAAAAGGUACCCCCCAGAGACAUCAUUUUCCACUGCCUAUGGAUCAGACGUCCAACAGAUUCCAGGAGGCACAAUGUUAAUAGACUGAAAUUGUCUUUGCUUCUGGAGGCAAAAGUGAAGAUAGGCAGGGCAAAGAUUUUCUCUUGUGCUUUCUUCUAGAACUUUUAUAGUUUCAGGUUUCACAUUGUGUAUGAUCCCCUUUGAGUUAAUUUUUUUAUGUGAUGCAAGAUAUGGAUCAAGAUUUGGAUUUGAAUAUGGAUAACCAAUUGUUCCAGCACCAUUUGCUGAAAAGACUAUCUUUUCUUCACUAAAUUGCUUUUUUAACUUUGAAAAGAAUCAAUUAACCCAUAUAUGUGUGUAUCUAUUUCUGGACUUUCUAUUCUGCUUCAUUGAUUUAUAUUGUCUAUUCUUUUGCCAUUACCACACGGGCUUGAUUACUGUAGCUUCAUAGGAACUCUUGAAAUUAGGUAGUGUGAUUCCUCCAACUUUGUUCUUUUUCAAAAUUAUGCUGGCUAUUACAGUUCCUUUGUCUUACCAUAUAUAUUUUAGAAUCAGCUUGCUGAUUUUUACACACACACACACACACACACACACACAAACCUGCUAGAUUUUUCACUAGAACUGUACUGAAUUCAUACAUCUAUAUUAUUUUUUUUUUAAGAUAAAUUGCUUCAUAAAUUUAUUCUGAUGCUUCUGGUUCAAACUCAGGGAUACAGAGGUUUCUACUUUAACCUCUUCUCUGUUAAACUUGUGUCUCUUUCCUUCCACACCAAAUAUCCUAGUUCUCUAGGACACUGAAAGUGAUAGAAUUGGAACAUUUCAUAAUUGUUCAUCUAGUUUAUCCCAUAUUACAAACAUAGUCUCUGAAUAAUACUCAUAUUAUAACAAUAUAAUUACUAAUAUUAAUUAAAAACUUUUUUGCAUAUGCCUUUUUUCUCCCAUUUUUAUAAUUGUACUAUAUCUACAUUUUCUGAACAUAUAGUCAUCCCAUUACUAUAAAAAAUCUGCCUUGAUAUUUUUUCUAAAAGACACACUCAUCUAUUUAUUUAACUGAGUUAUUCUCUGCCUCCUUCAAAAAUGAUUUUAAACUCCCUUAAAAAGAGGAAAAUACAGUUGGGUAAAAAGGAGGAAGCAAAUAUGUUAACCAUAAUUUAAAUAUGCGUUAUGAUUAAGUGCAAUAUUUGGCUCAAUGCAUCCUAACAGCCAAAUUAAAGGUAAAAAUGUGACAAGUUACAUAAAGUGGUAUUUUUCAAAUACAAUUGUUAUUUUUUUUAAGAUUAAAGGCAGACUUUUUUUUUACAUUACAUUACUAGGAGACAAAAAUUGAGAUGUGUAAUAACAUCCUCAAUUAGAGUUUCACAGAAAUGUAAAAAAAAAUUGACGUGAAAAAAGUUCAACAUAAUAUUAAAGUGCAAAUCAGUAAAACCGAGAGAUCUUUCAGAGAAAGACCUUUAUCUUAAACUGUUUUUUAAUACUUUUAAUGUACAUCAUGUAGCUGUUUGUCUCUUUUUAUUAUAGUAUAUAUUAUUACAGAAAUAUUUUAAAUAUUUAUAUUUAAAUAUAUUUAUACAUAUAUAUGGUACAUAUGUAUAUAUUUUUGCUUUUCUAAUUAGAAAGAAUUUCCCACUAUCAACAUUAUCACUAAGAACUUUAGCUGACUCUUUGAGUCAAGAAAACACUUUGAAAGUUCUACUCAGCCACAGCUUAGAAACUGCCCAACGUGCUUCACCACCAAGCUUAGGCUAUGUUAAAGCAAACGUGGCAUCAGCUUCAAGGGCAAGGCAGGGGAAGAAGACAUUAGUUGCAGAUAUAAUAAUAUGGGAAAAGGGGGUCAAAGAAUGGACAUUUGACUAAUGGGGUGAACAGCAGGAGAAGAGUGUUAGUGACUAUGAGACAGUGGAUGUGGAAGGAAAGAUCACAGUACCAUUGACUGUCCAUUGUAAAAGUCCAGCAAGACCUAAAGGAAAUGAGCAUGUCCUAGAGAAGUCUGAAUUUGUUAACAGGAGACUAGCUUAAUGGACAGUGAAUAAUAGUAUUACUGGAAAAGGUAAUCUGGAUAGGAAUAAGAUAUAGAUAAAUCAAAGAUUGAAGUUUCCUGAAUUCUCCCACACAGAGUUAUAUACAAAUUCUAACACCACAGUAUUUUCCACCUUGAAUCAUGCUUCAUGAGUUUGCUUUAUGAAAGAGCAUUUCAUUUACUUGAUGGUGACAGCUUGCCCAUUUUCAGGUGACUACAUCCUUAUCACCACUUGAGAGCCAGUGGGCUCCUCUCAGAAAAUCGGGCUUACACAGACAAGAUAGUCCACGGUUUUAUGCCAAAUUUCUCUAUCUAUCUCUUGCUACUCUCUGAGGGCAUUCUGACCUCUUAAUUCCUUGAGGGCCAUAAUUGACCAGAAACACUCUUGACUGCAUCAGGAAUUGAGUGGGAACUCUUGAUAGGUCUUUGGUCAAUCACUUAAGAAAAUCCAUUUCAUUUAAGUCAUUCCUGGAAAUUUUUUCUUUUACUUAAUUAUGUUGUGCACCCUUUUGCUUCCCUCUCAUGAUAUCAGGACACACAGGUUAAUGUGAAAGAAGCAUAUGCAGUUACUAAAGAAAUGAAGUUUUUCCACUGAUAGGUAUAUGGGUUAGAUUGAAUAUUAACACUGAUUCCUCGUGCUCUUUCCUUAUGACGCCUAAGUAAUAAGUUAUUUGCUUUCAUAAAUUUUUGAAAUUGUAUGUGAUUAGUAAUAAAAGGUCUGCAUCAGAAAAUAAUAUCCUUACCAACAGGAAACAGGGGUUUCAGUUGAAAAGCAUGAAACAUAUAUUUUCUUGAUAAAGCUGAUAUGGUUUGGCUGUCCCCACCCAAAUCUCAUCUUGAACUAUAGCUCCAACAAUUCCCACGUGUGGUGAGAGGUAAUUGAAUCAUGGGGGCGGGUCUUUCUCAUGCUGUUCUCAUGAUAGUGAAUAAGUCUCAUGAAAUCUGAUGGUUUUAUAAGGGGGAGUUUCCCUGCACAAAUUUUCUCUUGUCUGUCACCAUGUAAGACCUGCCUUUCACCUUCCACUAUUAUUAUGAGCCUCCCCAGACAUGUGAAACUGUGAGUCCAUUAAACUUCUUUUUCUUUAUAAAUUACCUAGUUUUAGGUAUGUCUUUAUCAGCAGUGUGAAAUAAAGUAUAGAAAGUCUAUUAUAUUGGAAAGAACACUGGGGCUCAGGCAUUAGCUCAACCCUUAGGUCCAUACCUUAUGGUCACAUAAUAUUGGAUAAGUCACUCAAUAUCUUUGAGCCUUGUUUAACAUAGAAAUAAUAAUAAUGACCUCACUGGAUUAGUCGCGG
This 4150-nucleotide long non-coding RNA is filed under the name Homo sapiens (human). RNAcentral describes it as "HSALNT0047703". Lineage: Eukaryota; Metazoa; Chordata; Mammalia; Primates; Hominidae. The record is from RNAcentral.